Long non-coding RNA from Oryzias melastigma (Indian medaka), 1389 nucleotides. RefSeq lists it as uncharacterized. NCBI's taxonomy places the organism in Eukaryota, Metazoa, Chordata, Actinopteri, Beloniformes, Adrianichthyidae. The record is from RefSeq and is a predicted model, not a curated record. The transcript is spliced from 3 exons.
UUGCAUUCUUUACGUGCCUCUGUGUAACAUAUUCUCAUUUGAGCUGAGAUAUCAAAUAGUUUAUAGUUUAGCUUAGCCUACGUUCAUUUUUGUCUUACAGGCAUUAGGCUAAUGGCAAAUGCUAAGAGGGGUGCACUGUGCACAUAAAGGGGUGUCAAACUAAAGGAAGAAGAAACGAAAAAAGCGCAAGCCUAAAUGCAUUCGCUAUUUUUAAAACUGUCUAGAGAAGGAAGGCAGGACAAAGAUAGAGGAAUGUAAAGUAAAUAUUAUGUUAAUCAGUCAAUGACAUUAUUUUGCUGUUGCAGAACUAUUGAUAGCAUCGUUAGCCGUUAGCAUAAUGUCAAAACUUGGCCAGCGCGACUUCUUUUAGACCUAACGUCAAUUCAUGUUAAUUAAGGUAAUUUUGUCAUGGGCAUUAGUUAUGUAAUAACCCCUACAUUACCUUCGUCAGGUAAAUGUUCAAAUAUUAGAUUAGGUGUUAUGAUGUUAUUUGCUUUGAAGUGGUUUUCCCACGUUUUCACAGCUUGUAACAGUGAAUUAAAAUGCUUUCCAUUUUUUCUGCCGUUCUAAGCCCAGGUAUUGUUGUGGUACAGUUGAUUUUGUCUUUAGUGCAUUUAUGGUGGAUUUUAAUCAGCAAUAAAGUACACAUCAAUAUGUCAACAUGCAUAAAAUCCCCACAUGAUAUAUUUUACUGCAGUUUAUUGAGUCUGUGCAUUCUUCGUAUUUCACUGUAAUGACAAUAACAUUGAAAUCAUUUAUGAAUAAAUAAUGUAUUUUUCAUAUCAGAUCAAGUAGAUUGAAUACAGUAUUUUAUAGUUAAGUCUACAAUGUGCAUGCAUCUCUAGGUUUUUCUUUUUUUAUUUAUGUUGUUUCCUUUUUUUAUUCUUAAAGUCCUGUGUUUAUUAGACUAUUGUCACAUAAUCCUCUUCUGUCCUCAGAUGCACUGCCGAGGUUUCUCAGUCCAUCUUCUGUAAAUCCUCAUGUUGCUCAUGCAUCAGCAGCACAACCCAGCAUUGAUGCAGGAGGAUCAAGCACUGCACCUGCUCCAAUAGACCAUACUUGCUGGCCAUCAAAUCAACCCCACAAUGGAGACACAGCUGCGAGAAUUCUUGAUGGAGCGCAAUAUAGCUGAGGAUGUGAUUCAGAAACUUGAAGAUGAAAAUAUUGACGCAGCUGUUAUUCCACUGAUGACCGACACUGACUUGGCAAAAUAUAUCCCCAAAGUUGGAGACAGAGUUUCAACUGUGGCCUUCUGCAGACGAAAUGCUUUGUCAGAGAGUGUAUCAUCCAGGAAGGAGUCCAUCCUUUCAAGACUGCGGCAAAGAUUGCAUGGAACUGAGGAGCCUGGGAAAAAACGGUGUGCUAAACUUGAAGGAAAUGUAAACGCCA